UGAGGAAUUUUGCGCAAUGGGAGCAAUCCUGACGCAGCAACGCCGCGUGGGUGAUGAAGGCCUUCGGGUCGUAAAGCCCUGUCAGGUGGGAAGAAUGUCCCGGGACUGAACAGGUUCCGGGAGUGACGGUACCACCAGAGGAAGCACCGGCUAACUCCUUGCCAGCAGCCGCGGUAAUCCGGAGGGUGCAAGGGUUAUCCGGAAUUACUGGGCGUAAAGCGCGUGUAGGCGGUCCUGCAAGUCUGAUGUGAAAGCCCCGGGCUUAACCCGGGAAGUGCAUUGGAUACUGGCAGACUUGAGUACGGGAGAGGGAAGUGGAAUUCCGGGUGUAGCGGUGGAAUGCGCAGAUAUCCGGAGGAACACCAGUGGCGAAAGCUGCCUCCUGGACCACUCCUGACACUCAGACGCGAAAGCUAGGGUAGCAAACG
RNAcentral lists this ribosomal RNA (428 nucleotides) under uncultured prokaryote. Its description in RNAcentral is "bacterial SSU rRNA". It matches the Rfam family "Bacterial small subunit ribosomal RNA", at positions 355 to 774 of the family's 1533-position model. The record is from RNAcentral.